ACGGGUUACGUUAAUUCGAGUUAGGCUUAAAUAGGCACAAAUCAAAUUAGGAUCUUGAUCAAGUCAAAGACCCUGAGCAUUAUCCUCCACAUAUCACACAUUAUGAAUAAUAAAGAAGGGAGUCAAGGGCUGAAAUACGAGGAAGUACGUGCAACCACUUGAAACUCCUAUAAAAAGACAAAGCCAUUGCUCUUAUGAGAAAUUCUCUUUCCACUUGAACAAAGGAGAGCUCAGUAGCUCAAGAAACCACAAUUAUAUCAUCUCUCACCUGGAAAAAGAACAAGACACUACACGUGCGUUUCCCAUAAUCCCACUCCACUUGAUAACAAAAAUAAUGAUCAAAAGGCCACUUCAUUUACCAUCACCAAGCGAACGGAUCAUGACGUCUACGUAGCAAGGGGACAACUCUUCCACCACUGGAUCGUUCAGAAAGAAAGAGAGACACUUAAUUCUUCACGUUAAUCUCACUAAGUAAACGCGGUCUCCGUAUUUCGUUAACGGCGAGACCCUUUUAUUCCUGACACAACCACACAGUGAAUCGAACCCUAAUCGAUCCCAGCUCCUAGGUCAAGGGCCAACUCCAUACCCACAGAUUCUGGUUUCUUCAACUCUAUUGCUUUGCGUGGCUUUUCAUCAAAAUUAAAAUUAUCUUCUUCUUCUGGAUGAGGGAUGGUACGAUGGAUACAGUGGACCGAUUCAGCUUCCGGCGAGUAGUCUUCGUGUUUGUUAGCUCUGUGCGUUCUCUUUUCUCGAGUUUCUAUGAAAUUACAUGUUUUCAGUGGCUUAAAUGGUCGUUCUAUGCUUGUAAGCUAUUCAAUUCUAUUUUUUUUUGGUCUUGUGAUUAUUUGUGCUGUUAGGUUUUGAGUUUGUUAGCUCUUUGUUUUCUCUCUUCUUGAGUUUAUAGGAUACUGAAUGUUUUCAGUGGCUUUGUUUGUUCACUGAGUUCUGGGGAAUGAUUUUACUCCUUUUAGCCCCUCAUACUAGUUUUCUCUGCUCUUAUAAUCUUCGAGACUUAAAUUCAUUGUUGAUAAUCACUUAUCUACAAGGAUGUAUCAGUAACUAUUCUUCCCUUGUUAAAUCUUCUUCCACACUUGUCGUCUCCUUAUGAGAAUCUGUAGUUAAGAGCUGAAUCUUGCUGAUUGUUCAUGGGUUUGAUAUAAAUAUCUGAUCUUUGUUGUCUUUUGUCCGUUUCCUGGUACAGGACCAAAUGGGUUCUCCGGUUUCACUGUGCAACGGCUUGUAUGCACGACUACUUCUAAUGGGGAAGUCAAACGGAGAUCUGUCAGUCGAGUCGAGAGAGACCACCGAGGAAGAAGAAUACGGUGUGUUUCCGGUGAUGGAGAGGAGGAGGACGAGGAGUGGUGUGGUGUGGAGAGAAUCGUUUCUGUUUUUACUUGGUUAAGCAAUUCGCUUACGAUGGCCCUGAGAUUAAGGCUAAGAUCGAUGAAGCUAAUGAUGAGAUUUAUAAUUGUAACAGUGAGAAGAUUCACAUUGCUAACAGAUUGAAAGCUAAAAUGGCUGUGAGGGUUGUCUCUGCCUGCUUCAAUUGAGAGUUUGGUGUCAUCACUUGAUGGGUACAACAAUGUAAUGAAGGAUAAAGAAAUUAAUAGCUUGAGUGAGAGAUUAAGAUGGAAAUGGAGUUGUUGGAUGCUCAAAUGGCUUUUUUUUUAAUAUGUUGUUUUAUGUUGCCAUGAAGAAUGCCAUAGAAUUAACUACUUCUGGAAACGUUAUAGAUCCGGAAGAACUUGCGGAUUCAGAGGGCUGUUUUGUCAGUUUAUUGGGUGUAUAUGUUUGUCUUUGAGAUUUGAGCUUGUGUUCGUACUUUGUCUUCGUGUCUUGUAUUUUCAAUAGAUUGAUAAAUUUAUGUUCUCGUUAAAACAAUGACAAAGCUUUUAGGGAUAAAUUUAUUCAGUAA
Molecule: long non-coding RNA, 1915 nt
Organism: Brassica napus (rape)
Lineage: Eukaryota; Viridiplantae; Streptophyta; Magnoliopsida; Brassicales; Brassicaceae
Exons: 2
Source: RefSeq, a predicted model, not a curated record